GUAGUCGUGGAGGCGACAUCGACUGCGAAAGUAGCUGGCUGUGCCGGUGCCGAAGUGGGAUAGUGCUGUCGACCCGAUCCAGGAAACACGUAAACCGACGCCUGCCUGUCGAUCUCGCUCGCUGCUUCUGGCGCAUCGGCUUCGGACAUACUGGCACAUCUGCCGACAGGUAGUAUUUCUCAUGAAGAGAACUAACGGAACGGCCGCUGGAUGUAAUUGACUCGAGGAAAUGCCACUCAAGUUUUGCUCACGAUACGAUACAACAACUACCUUUCAGUGAAAAUUGAACGGUACUUAAAUGAUAACAGCGGGUGCUGUUUAUUUAACAGACGCGAAUAGAACGUCGAGCAAAUUGAAGAUAAACUGAAAAAAAUUAUAGUAGAGAAAACACAUCGGCGUCGGACGAUGUAUCGGAGGAGUGUGAAAUCAAUAAUUUCGUUUCAGAUGUUCUUUUGCCAAAAUCGAAAAUAUUGAUCGUUCUCUCAGGACUAUUUAUAGAGAACUAUUCGCAGAAGAAAGCCAGCGACGUUUUGAACGAUAUGCAGGAAGUAACGCAACGCGUUUCCAACUCCAUUCACUGAUGAUCAUGGGUGCACUUGUACUUGCCCGACACAGAUAGGCUAUUAAUAAGAUUGUGCAAAGAUAGAAAGAGAAAGGGGAGAGGAGGGUUUUUCGAGGAAACCGAUACCCUCAGACCGAUGGAUUAAAGUCGCCGACGGUGCUUCCGCAGAUUUGACAAAAUAUUGCGAAACGCUAAACAAAUCACCUUACGCCGAAUAAUCCAAUAGUAUCGUAUUCAUUCGUAAGACCCAGCGACCUUCGCCUCAGAGUCACGACUUCGAGUCCAUCGACCUUCUACGUACAUUCGCAUGAGUUAACAUUACUUGAAGAAAAAUAAAAAAAUGUUCAGCCUGAUUACGAGAAGCUACAAGUGUGCGCGCAUGGCAACAAGGUAUCAGACAAGAAACUUCCUUUAUCAGUCCGUUCGUAGAAUUCAUGUCCAAGCGACGUUGACAAUUUAUCGGUCGAUUUUUCGCUUGUGAAUUUUAUACGAGAGCCGGCGAGCUCGUGUGCCUUUCUCUUGGCACCCGCACAAUUCCUUACGUUCGAGCAUGCGAACACAGAAGCGGUCGCAUGUUUAACGAGGAACCGUUGGAGUGACACACGUCUGUCGCAUGCACAUGCUCGCUAAACAACUUCCCGAGUUAAUUAGGACAAACCAGAUUAAAUGAUUCGAUAAAUUCAACGUGCUUCCAUUAGUACACUGUUCGAGAGACAAACAACACGAUGUGAACAUCCUCGUCGAUACCCAACGUGAAUACCGAUAACUUUCAUCGACGUGCACAAUUGCAACGAGUGCAAUUCGUACAAACGCAUUUUGAAAGUUAAUAUGAUUAAUAUUAAUAUGGAAAGGUAAUGAGUAUUACUACGGAUGCUUAUAAGAUCAUUAAAAACAAUUUAUUUAUGACUCAUAUAUUAUAUUUAAAUACACAAUAAAAUAUUUUAAUUAUGACUA
Molecule: long non-coding RNA, 1516 nt
Organism: Ceratina calcarata
Lineage: Eukaryota; Metazoa; Arthropoda; Insecta; Hymenoptera; Apidae
Exons: 3
Source: RefSeq, a predicted model, not a curated record